ACACACGUGUUACAAUGGCAGGUACAGAGGGGUGCUACCGGGUGACCGGAUGCCGAUCUCGAAAACCUGUCCCAGUUCGGACUGGAGUCUGCAACCCGACUCCACGAAGUUGGAUUCGCUAGUAAUCGCGCAUCAGCCAUGGCGCGGUGAAUACGUUCCCGGGCCUUGUACACACCGCCCGCCAAGCCAUGGGAGCCGGGGGCGCCUGAAGUCCGGGACCGCGAGGACCGGCCUAGGGCGAAACUGGUGACUGGGGCUAAGUCGUAACAAGGUACC
RNAcentral lists this ribosomal RNA (276 nucleotides) under uncultured bacterium. Its description in RNAcentral is "partial 16S ribosomal RNA". It matches the Rfam family "Bacterial small subunit ribosomal RNA", at positions 1216 to 1500 of the family's 1533-position model. The record is from RNAcentral.